GACGAACGCUGGCGGCGUGCUUAACACAUGCAAGUCGAACGGAAAGGCCCUGCUUUUGUGGGGUGCUCGAGUGGCGAACGGGUGAGUAACACGUGAGUAACCUGCCCUUGACUUUGGGAUAACUUCAGGAAACUGGGGCUAAUACCGGAUAGGAGCUCCUGCUGCAUGGUGGGGGUUGGAAAGUUUCGGCGGUGGGGGAUGGAGUCGCGGCUUAUCAGCUUGUUGGUGGGGUAGUGGCUUACCAAGGCUUUGACGGGUAGCGGGCCUGGGAGGGUGACCGGCCACAUUGGGCCUGAGAUACGGCCCAGACUCCUACGGGAGGCAGCAGUGGGGAAUCUUGCACAAUGGGCGGAAGCGUGAUGGAGCAACGCCGCGUGCGGGAAGAACGCCUUCGGGUUGUAAACCAAUUUCGCCUGUGACGAAGCGUUAGUGACGGUAAUGGGUAAAAAAGCACCGGCUAACUACGUG
This 468-nucleotide ribosomal RNA is filed under the name uncultured bacterium. RNAcentral describes it as "partial 16S ribosomal RNA". It matches the Rfam family "Bacterial small subunit ribosomal RNA", at positions 28 to 507 of the family's 1533-position model. The record is from RNAcentral.